GUGGGGAAUAUUGGGCAAUGGGCGAAAGCCUGACCCAGCAACGCCGCGUGAAGGAAGAAGGUCUUCGGAUUGUAAACUUCUGUCAUUGGGGACGAAGGAAGUGACGGUACCCGAUGAGGAAGCCCCGGCUAACUACGUGCCAGCAGCCGCGGUAAUACGUAGGGGGCGAGCGUUGUCCGGAAUUACUGGGCGUAAAGGGUGCGUAGGCGGCGAUGCAAGUCCAUUGUGAAAAGCGCGGGCUUAACCUGGGGGGUGCAGUGGAAACUGUAUGGCUUGAGUGCAGGAGAGGAAAGUGGAAUUCCUAGUGUAGCGGUGAAAUGCGUAGAUAUUAGGAGGAACACCAGUGGCGAAGGCGGCUUUCUGGACUGUAACUGACGCUGAGGCACGAAAGCGUGGGGAGCAAACAGGAUUAGAUACCCCGGUAGUCC
RNAcentral lists this ribosomal RNA (428 nucleotides) under uncultured bacterium. RNAcentral's name for it is "partial 16S ribosomal RNA". It matches the Rfam family "Bacterial small subunit ribosomal RNA", at positions 354 to 796 of the family's 1533-position model. The record is from RNAcentral.